Copidosoma floridanum is the source of this 795-nucleotide long non-coding RNA. NCBI's taxonomy places the organism in Eukaryota, Metazoa, Arthropoda, Insecta, Hymenoptera, Encyrtidae. The record is from RefSeq and is a predicted model, not a curated record.
AAAAGAUGUAGUAUAAGCGAUACAGGGUAUUGGCAGAUAAAGAUGACUGCAAAACCAGCAUUGGAUAGUACACGAUUGAAAGCAGUAAAAGAAAAUUUUUAGUACUACCUUACAGAAGAAAAGAAGAUGAAUGAGGUAAAAAUUCGUCAAGAGAUAAAAUGUUCUGAAAAAUACGUUGCCGGAAAAAUGUGGGACUCAAGUCAUCCUGCCAAAGGUUCUUGAAAGACUGACAAGAAGAAAACUGAAAUCGCAACGUGGCCUUCGUUUGAUCAUCGUAUUACUGUCGAGGAAUAGUGAAAGUUGUACGCAUGUGACAGAUUUUGUAAUGAAGUAAAUUGAACAAAACCAAAUGGAAUCAACUUCGGAAGAUGUCCAACCAUUGCUUCCGCAGUAUCAUAAUAUAUGUCAGUGUAAGAAGGAGAAUUCAAAGGUCCAUAAAAAAAAAUGUUAACUCGACAAACGUUAGAGAUACAACGAAAACAUUGUCAGGUUGUGGUAAUGUCAUGAUAUCCAAGCCAGAACAGUUUAUAUAUGGACCCGAAAGACAGUAUAAAAUAACAGUUAACUUAUAGGAGUUUAACGUUAUUACAAAAAAUAAAAAGCUUUUGACUACAAAUGUUUACUUCUUCGAUCAUGUUCGAUCAUGAAUUUUUCAGCAGUUACCUCGCAUACACAGAUAUCAUAUAUACUGAUGCAACAUUCAAGGUUGUGCCCAACCUGAAGGGAGCAUACCAGAUGUUGACAAUAAUGGUGAAGAUGGAGCACGCAGGACAGAAAUUGGCUCUCAUACACAAG